RNAcentral lists this ribosomal RNA (433 nucleotides) under uncultured bacterium. RNAcentral describes it as "bacterial SSU rRNA". It matches the Rfam family "Bacterial small subunit ribosomal RNA", at positions 46 to 525 of the family's 1533-position model. The record is from RNAcentral.
GCCUAACACAUGCAAGUCGAGCGCGCCCUUCGGGGUGAGCGGCGGACGGGUUAGUAACGCGUGGGAAUAUGCCCGACACUAAGGAAUAGCCUCUGGAAACGGAGAGUAAUACCUUAUACGCCCUUCGGGGGAAAGAUUUAUCGGUGACGGAUUAGCCCGCGUUAGAUUAGAUAGUUGGUGGGGUAAUGGCCUACCAAGUCUACGAUCUAUAGCUGGUUUUAGAGGAUGAUCAGCAACACUGGGACUGAGACACGGCCCAGACUCCUACGGGAGGCAGCAGUGGGGAAUCUUGGACAAUGGGCGCAAGCCUGAUCCAGCCAUGCCGCGUGAGUGAUGAAGGCCUUAGGGUCGUAAAGCUCUUUCGCCAGAGAUGAUAAUGACAGUAUCUGGUAAAGAAACCCCGGCUAACUCCGUGCCAGCCGCCGCGGUAAUA